GCGCGCAAAUUACCCAAUCCUGACACGGGGAGGUAGUGACAAUAAAUAACAAUACCGGGCGCGUUAGUGUCUGGUAAUUGGAAUGAGUACAAUCUAAAUCUUUUAACGAGGAUCCAUUGGAGGGCAAGUCUGGUGCCAG
RNAcentral lists this ribosomal RNA (139 nucleotides) under uncultured bacterium. Its description in RNAcentral is "partial 16S rRNA". It matches the Rfam family "Eukaryotic small subunit ribosomal RNA", at positions 432 to 570 of the family's 1831-position model. The record is from RNAcentral.